RNAcentral lists this ribosomal RNA (500 nucleotides) under uncultured bacterium. RNAcentral describes it as "partial 16S ribosomal RNA". It matches the Rfam family "Bacterial small subunit ribosomal RNA", at positions 30 to 523 of the family's 1533-position model. The record is from RNAcentral.
AUUGAACGCUGGCGGCAUGCUUUACACAUGCAAGCCGAACGGUAACAGGGUGCUUGCACCGCUGACGAGUGGCGAACGGGUGAGUAAUGCGUCGGAACGUGCCGAGUAGUGGGGGAUAACGCAGCGAAAGUUGUGCUAAUACCGCAUACGUACUGAGGUAGAAAGUGGGGGACCUUCGGGCCUCACGCUAUUCGAGCGGCCGACGUCUGAUUAGCUAGUAGGUGAGGUAAAGGCUCACCUAGGCGACGGUCAGUAGCGGGUCUGAGAGGAUGAUCCGCCACACUGGGACUGAGGCACGGCCCAGACUCCUACGGGAGGCAGCAGUGGGGAAUUUUGGACAAUGGGCGAAAGCCUGAUCCAGCCAUGCCGCGUGUCUGAAGAAGGCCUUCGGGUUGUAAAGGACUUUUGUCAGGGAGGAAAUCCCUAGUGCUAAUAUCACUGGGGGAUGACAGUACCUGAAGAAUAAGCACCGGCUAACUACGUGCCAGCAGCCGCAGUAA